Molecule: long non-coding RNA, 191 nt
Organism: Dermochelys coriacea (leatherback sea turtle)
Lineage: Eukaryota; Metazoa; Chordata; Testudines; Dermochelyidae
Exons: 3
Source: RefSeq, a predicted model, not a curated record
AAUGGCUGACACUCUCCCAUCAACUCUGCCUGCGCCUCUCGCCCUGGUGGAGUACCGGAGUCAAUGGAAGAGCGCUCGGCGGUCGAUUUAUCGCAUCUAGUAGAUGUGAUAAAUCGACCCCAGCUGGAUCAAUCUCUGCCCGUCGAUCCAGUGGGUAAUGUAGACAAGCCCUAAGUGAUUGCAGUGGUGCU